RNAcentral lists this transfer RNA (51 nucleotides) under Anthurium longicaudatum. RNAcentral's name for it is "partial tRNA-His". Lineage: Eukaryota; Viridiplantae; Streptophyta; Magnoliopsida; Alismatales; Araceae. The record is from RNAcentral.
GGCGGAUGUAGCCAAGGCUCAAGGCAUGGAUUGUGAAUCCACCAUGCGCGA